Molecule: long non-coding RNA, 1646 nt
Filed under: Homo sapiens (human)
Lineage: Eukaryota; Metazoa; Chordata; Mammalia; Primates; Hominidae
Description: HSALNT0149311
Source: RNAcentral
GUGAGAUGACUUACACAAUUUGAUAAUAUUUUAUAUAAUAUUUUAUGAUUAACCAGUUAACUGAAACCUAAAAACCUGUAUUAACUGAUUAAUAUUGCAGCAAAAAGUCAGUUCAUGUUAUUGUAUCAAUCACUUGUGGAUACAUGAUUAUGCUGUCGUGAUAUGAUUUCUAACAAUUGUCUUGUCAUUUUUAGCUUUUACUAUUAUAAUUUUAAUUAAAAUAUAUUAAAGUCACUAUGUCAUAACAGACUUUAUAUUGUGCCAUGCAGUCCUAUUGCUCUUUUGUUUUAAAUAUCAUAUAGUCUAAAGCAAUGAUUCUCAUUAAAUACAUGCAUCAAAAUCAACUGCAGUUAUUACAUGCUGACUCAAACUUACAAAAUCAAGCUCUCUGUGAUCCUGGUUAAUACAUCUAAGUACUUGAGCCGAUAAUCCAAGUACUUUGGGGGGUCGAGGUGAGAGGAUAGCAUGUGGCCAGAAGUUCAAGACCAGCCUGGGCAACAUAGCGAGACUCCAUCUCCACAAAAAAGUGUUAAAAAUUAGCCAGACAUGGUGGUGCAUGUCUUAGUUCUAACUACUCAGGAGGCUGAGAAAGGAAGAUUACUUUAGCCCAGGAGCUCAAAGGUGCAGUGAACUGUGACUGCACUCCAGCCCGUCUAAAAAAAAAAAAAGGAAAAAAAAAAGAAAUAAAAAGGUAUACACUUUUUUUUCUGAAGUGGAUGGAAAUAUGUCAUGUCAGAGGUAAAUUGUGACUUGAGUAAGUUUUAUGUUGAGCAACUCUUUUUGUUUACGUUUUCUAUGUUGCCCAAAUAAAGUCUUAUUUUCAUAAAUCACUGCUUUAUGAAAUCACAACUUUUCCUGCAGCCCUGGGUAUGGUGGCACACAGUUGUAGUCCCAGGUACACUGGAUGCUGAGGCAAGAGGAUCAUUUGAACCCAGAACUUGAAGGUCAACCUGGGCAACAUAGCAAGAUCCUAUCUGUAACAAAAAUUUUUUUAAUGAUAAUUCUCAUGCAAAAUUCAGUUUGCACUGUUUUAAAAAAUGAAACACUUAUAAGAGCAUGGUCAUAAGGCAAUUCUGACUUGGUGUCAAGCCAUUUAAACUUAGAUAUGACCUAGGAUUUAGGAUCCUUGCUAUUGUUUACAUAGUAAGUCCACAUUCACUCACAUUGGGACACACAGUGGGGAAAUGCCAAUUAACCAGACAUGCACAUCUUGGGGAUGUGAGAGGAAGCAGGAGUUCCUGGAGAAAACCCAUGCAGGCAUGGGGAGAACAUGCAGACCCUACACAGAUGGUAGCCCUGUCCAGGAAUCAAUAUUUAUUCUCAUCUACAUUAUAGCAAAACAACAUUGAAUAAAACAACUUUAUUUGAGGACCUGUUUUACUUGUACAUCUUUGGGAAAAUCUUUCAACUUUUAUUACUCAUAAUGUUCUCAAUAAAAGUGUGUUAAGAAUACAUAUUUCAGGAGGUUUUUUGAGACAAUCAAAUGUGGCAAUGCAUGCAGAAUUAAUAGCCCAUAAGGCAUUUUAUACAGUAUGUUCUUAGUAAUCUACUUUUAAUUGAUAAUUGCUUUAUAAAAUAAUCUGAUUACUUUUGGUAUAAAGGAUAACAUAUUCCACUAAUACUGUGAAGUUUCAGUGAUACAAACA